UACGUAGGGUGCAAGCGUUGUCCGGAAUUAUUGGGUGUAAAGAGCUCGUAGGCGGUUUGUCGCGUCGAAUGUGAAAACCCGGGGCUCAACUCCGGGCCUGCAUUCGAUACGGGCAGACUAGAGUUCGGUAGGGGAGACUGGAAUUCCUGGUGUAGCGGUGAAAUGCGCAGAUAUCAGGAGGAACACCGGUGGCGAAGGCGGGUCUCUGGGCCGAUACUGACGCUGAGGAGCGAAAGCGUGGGGAGCGAACAGG
This 253-nucleotide ribosomal RNA is filed under the name uncultured bacterium. Its description in RNAcentral is "partial 16S ribosomal RNA". It matches the Rfam family "Bacterial small subunit ribosomal RNA", at positions 524 to 776 of the family's 1533-position model. The record is from RNAcentral.